UAUACUUGGAUUUGUAACUGUAUUUGAGUUUGUUUGUAUUUUUUUUCCAAUUUCAGUUUCUAAUUAUAAUUUAUUUGCUUUACAUUGUUCAUAUCGAUCUAUCGUCAUGUAGCUUUUUAGUGUUCAAAUCCAUGUAGCUUUGUAGCUUUUUAGUGUUCAACUAAGUUAUGGUACCAUAAUUUAAAAAUUAUUAUUUGAUUAGUUAGUAAAAAAUAAAAAUAAUUGACUAAUCAGAUAAUAAAAUAAUGAGGUAAAAUUUCAUACGAACUCGCUUCUUUUGUCGCUCUGGUUCUCUUCUUCGUACACACUCUCCCUCUUUUGUCGCUCACAUAUCGUAAAGCACGCCGCAGGCUAUACCGAGAACCUGCCAGCGUAAGUAAGACAGCCACUAUUCGCAGGUUUGCUAUAAUAAGUAAUUAUACAAAAUCAUUAAAAUAAAAAUUGAAUUUUCAUCAUUUACAGGAUCUUCUUCCUUUUGAUAGCGACGCGAGAAAAAAGACGAACAUACCCAAACUCAGGAAAUAUAAUGUGAUACACAAGAAGAAAGAGAUACCUUAUAAAACACAGCAGCUCAUAGUACCAAACGACUGUAUAAUAGACCAGUUCAAAUAUCCUGAUUACCAAUUCAGUAAAUGCAACCUUAUUAGAAACAUUAAAAAAAUAAAAAAAAAAAUCGCUAACCAAGUACUCCUGCAACCGAAGAAGAUGAGUUUCCGCCAUCACUAGUAUCUGCCUUCAAAUCGAACCACAAAUCUUUUUCACUAAAGUAAUCAUAGAGCAUAUCUCUUUGUAGCUCCAAAUGAAACCUUUUUAAAACUUAAUGU
Molecule: long non-coding RNA, 824 nt
Filed under: Carica papaya (papaya)
Lineage: Eukaryota; Viridiplantae; Streptophyta; Magnoliopsida; Brassicales; Caricaceae
Description: long non-coding RNA (CPAP_LNC003530)
Source: RNAcentral